Molecule: long non-coding RNA, 2075 nt
Filed under: Hordeum vulgare
Lineage: Eukaryota; Viridiplantae; Streptophyta; Magnoliopsida; Poales; Poaceae
Description: long non-coding RNA (HVUL_LNC006842)
Source: RNAcentral
AGGGAAGUGUUUCCCUAAAACAAAUAAAAAUAUACCAAGCAACAGGACCGGUAUUAACAUAACGCGUUGUGUGUGCACCACAUCCACUUAAUGUCAAUAAAUUAUGAUUGGACACCUGACAUGCGUUUAACUACACAGCAAAGGUAAAUUAAAACGCCCAUCAAUUCCACCCAGCUCCCCUUCCAGGCUGCAGGCCAUCAUGACUCUCAGCAAAUCGUGUUAGUGCUGUUUCCAGUGUGAUUACCCUUUCAGCACUCGUAUUGUCUUGUCUGGCAGCUCUCCUUUUCCUGAAAUCAGCGAGCAAUGAAAAACUUGUAAGAUCCAACUGUUUUCUACCCUCUUGUGUUUUUUCUCGUUUGAAACCACAAGAUCUUUUCCUUGGCCAACAUCAACAAAUCCUACAAAUCCGCAAAUCUGUUGAUGGUGAGCACAUUCGCUCAUAGACAAAGAAAACAAGAACAACGGAUCAGGUUUAGUAUAGUUGGGCUAACCUGUUGAACUACGUUUCUGCAAAGCUAAAGAAAAGCAUGUUUCUGCGGAAGCCAUAUCCUAUUCUCCAUUUGUUUAUCUAGAGGGCACGACUUGUACAAGAUCUACAGUAUGAGCCACUAAUAAGCGUGUGUGGUUAAUGAUGUUUGCCCAACGUCUAAGAGCAGUUAUGCCAUCGCCCGAUAUGUGACAUGGGCCUCUAACAGGCAAGCAUGCAGGGCCGGUCUUGAAACUUUGGGGGCCCGGGACGAAAACCAAAACUCGGGGCCCUUAGUAUAAACAAUAUAGUAGCAAUAAUAAAUAUAUGAAUUAUUACUAAUAAAGAUAUAAGUUUAUAAAAAAAAUAUGAAAUAAUUAUAUAUACAUGUUACCUUUUUAGAAGUUCUAAUAUUCCUAGAUGCAAAGUCACUUUUGAUGGGAUCGGUGUCUAUCUAAUCUAAUAUUUUUUCUUCUCGAAGCAUAACUUUGCCAAACUAUUUAUACUCUUUUGAGUUAUUAUUAUUUUCAGAUUGUUCUUUAAUGAAUGUAUCUUUGUCAAGCUUCUUUCAACCGAUGCGACAAUUUAUAUGCAAUGUAAAUAAGAUAAUAAGCGGUAGAGAUAUGAGGAUAAAAAUAGACUUCCAUGACAUGCUCAAAAAUCACAUAGUACACAUUACACCAUAUGACAAAGUGAAUCUUAUAAUCUUUAACUCAGAACAAAAAAAGCAAAACCGGAUGUGCAUGUGAUUCUGUUGAAAUAAUUGUACCACCAGUACCAGGUUCACUUACUAUUUUAUCACCCAUAGUGAUGACAGCAUUUUCCUCUUGUUAAUAUCCAAUUUAUCAUCAAUUUGUUCUACUUCCUUCACAAUAAUCGUCAAUUCAUCAUUUGGAAUCAACGGAGCACCAGUAUUACUGAUGAAAUUUUCAUGAAGAGCACCUCUUUGAUUUUAUCAACUCAUCCACAUAUUGUCUUUUUCACCAUGCUAGAAAUAAAUAAAUACUGGGAUCAAAGGUUCAUCAGUGCCAGCUAUGCACCAUGUACGCAAAAGAUAAAUUACUUAAUGCAGUACUAAACAUACAUGGAAUAGGGAUUAGGCGAAACGGUAAUAUACCUUGAAUGGAUUGGAUUGGCUUUGGUGGUAGGGCGUUUAGCCAUGAGUCGAUGACACGAUGUUGACUCGUGUCUGGCUCUAGAACUCGGUGAAUCGGCGAUGUAGUCCAGCGCCUGAAGGCAGUUGAGAAGGCGGCAUCGCGUAGAGUACUCGCGAUCGCACAUCAGUAGCGGUAGCCGGCGAUCGAAGCGAAUGCGUCAAAGCGGCAUCUUGCUAUCGUGGUGGCCGGGAAUAGAGAUCAGCAUCGGCGAGACGGCAUACUGGCGAUCGAAUUAGGAAGGAAAGGGAAGAGAAGGAGCAUAAUGGCAUGUUCAUUAUCGCUAAAAGGACGGCGUAUGAUCUGAGUAUUGUUACGUGAUUGGAAUAGCAAUAAUCGAUACGUUUGCCUGCAUCCACGGCUGCUACCUCCCGAAGCCACGGCCUAUAGUUUUCUUAUCAGUAAGUAUAUACGACUAGCCCAUAGACCACUACCUGCUGCAUUACACACUUGAG